UUUUUAUUUUUCCUGAAGGAAAUUUAUUUGAUAUGUUGAAUUGAUGAACGUUAAUUAAAAUUAACUUAAUAAACAACAGAAAUUUUUUUAAAAUCCAGAUUUUAAAAAAAAUUCAUUUGUAACAAAACAUCAUCAUUAGCAUUGUUGUUGCAUCAUAUAAAUAUUUUUAGUUCAGAAUGUGCUAUUUUUAUGUUUGGGUUUUGAACAUUUGAACAACAUAUAUACAUUUUAUUUCUUGGCAGAUAUAGUUUUGAUCAAAGCAAUUAAGUGUAAACGUAAAAAAAAAAAGAAACU
Biomphalaria pfeifferi is the source of this 294-nucleotide non-coding RNA. Lineage: Eukaryota; Metazoa; Mollusca; Gastropoda; Planorbidae. The record is from the annotation of a GenBank genome assembly.